Molecule: ribosomal RNA, 520 nt
Filed under: uncultured Entrophospora
Lineage: Eukaryota; Fungi; Glomeromycota; Glomeromycetes; Entrophosporales; Entrophosporaceae
Description: SSU rRNA
Rfam family: Eukaryotic small subunit ribosomal RNA
Source: RNAcentral
AGCAGCCGCGGUAAUUCCAGCUCCAAUAGCGUAUAUUAAAGUUGUUGCAGUUAAAAAGCUCGUAGUUGAAUUUCGGGAUUGGCGUGUCGGUCGUGCCUUACGGGGUAUGAACUGGCAUCGUCGAUUCUCACCUUCUGGAGAAUCACGAUGCCCUUAAUUGGGUGUCGUGUGGAUCCAGGACCUUUACCUUGAAAAAAUUAGAGUGUUUAAAGCAGGCAUUAUUGCUCGAAUACAUUAGCAUGGAAUAAUAAAAUAGGACGGCUUGGUUCUAUUUUGUUGGUUUCUAGGAUCACCGUAAUGAUUAAUAGGGAUAGUUGGGGGCAUUAGUAUUCAAUUGUCAGAGGUGAAAUUCUUGGAUUUAUUGAAGACUAACUACUGCGAAAGCAUUUGCCAAGGAUGUUUUCAUUAAUCAAGAACGAAAGUUAGGGGAUCGAAGACGAUCAGAUACCGUCGUAGUCUUAACCAUAAACUAUGCCGACUAGGAAUCAGACGAUGUUAAUUUUUUAAUGACUCGUUUGGC